GAUGAAGAACGCAUCGAAAUGCGAUAAGUAAUGUGAAUUGCAGAAUUCAGUGAAUCAUCGAAUCUUUGAACGCAUCUUGCGCUCCUUGGUAUUCUGAGGAGCAUGCCUGUUUGAGUGUCAUUAAAUUCUCAACUACACUGACUUUGAAUUGGUGUGGCUUGGAUUUGGGGGGAAAAUUGUUGUGGGCUUUUUGUAUAGUCUGCUCCCCUGAAAUUGAUUAGCGGUACCUUUGUGGAACUGUCUACAGGUGUGAUAAUUAUCUACAUCUAGACAUCUGCUGGAAUGCUGCUUUCUAAACCUUACUUGUAUUGACAAUCUUGACCUCAAAUCAGGUAGGACUACCCGCUGAACUUAAGCAUAUCAAUAAGCGGAGGA
RNAcentral lists this unclassified non-coding RNA (375 nucleotides) under soil metagenome. RNAcentral describes it as "partial contains 5.8S ribosomal RNA, internal transcribed spacer 2, and large subunit ribosomal RNA". The stretch from base 1 to 120 matches the Rfam family "5.8S ribosomal RNA", at positions 35 to 154 of the family's 154-position model. The record is from RNAcentral.